This 2049-nucleotide small RNA is filed under the name Pan troglodytes (chimpanzee). Its description in RNAcentral is "retained intron". Lineage: Eukaryota; Metazoa; Chordata; Mammalia; Primates; Hominidae. The record is from RNAcentral.
AUACUCAGUAGUCCUGUGGCCAGUGGCUGCCAUAGGGACAGAGCAGCCCCAGGAGUCUCACUGUGGGGUUUGAGGUACAGUUUCUUAUGGAGCCCUUGUCUCUGUGCAUGCGCUAACUUUGCAUCUGGCCUGGGACGGCCUUCUUCUCCCUCCUGAGGCUGGCCUGCCCUCCGACACCCUGGCACUAGUGGCACUUCUAGGUUUUGUUUUCAGUCUUGAAGUCCUCCCAGGGUGGUCCGAACUGAUGGUGAGAGCCCUGCUUCCUGGGGAUUGGCCUCACUUCUGCCAUCAGGAAAACCACUGAGUUACUCCAUGUAUUUCAGGAGAACCUCAUUUGUCUAGGGAGGCGAUGGGUAGGAUGUUAGAAACAAGGGCACUGGGGUCUGACCGUCUAGAUUGCCACGUGGACAGUGCAACUCACACGCCCUCAGGCCAGGCCUUUCACUUUCCCAUGCCUCAGUUUACCCAUCUGUAAGAAGGGAACUCCCCAGAACACAUGGAAACCUCCUGGAGGUGACUGUUCUCAGGGUUGUAUAUGUGGUCUGUUGUAUAUGAACUUGAAGCGUGUGAAACUGCAGGAUGACAUGCAGCUCUGGUGCCCUUGGAGCUCAGGGGUCGCGUGUUCCCACCCUUGUUUAGAGAAGCAAAGUGUGUCUGGUGCAGGCCCUUCACCUGGGUCGUUCUGUGGGUGCCUGAGCCAGGUAAAGGUCCUCUCAGCCUGUUUCCAUGGCGGCCUCAGCUGUUGCCUCAAGUGCCCCCAUGCCUGCCCUUCCACUGCACUAAACUGAGAUGGUGUUGACUUCUCAGCCCAGGACCCAGGGAUCUCCCCCAGCCAGAGUCUGUGUGCGGAAAGUUCCAGAGGCCUCAGUGCAGGCUCCCUGUCGGAGAGUGCAGUUGGGCCCGUGGAGGCAUGCUGCCUGGUCAUCCUGGCUGCAGAGAGCAAGGUCGCUGCGGAGGAGCUUUGCUGUCUGCUAGGCCAGGUCUUCCAGGUUGUUUACACGGAGUCCACCAUCGACUUUCUGGACAGAGCGAUAUUUGAUGGGGCCUCUACCCCCACCCACCACCUGUCCCUGCACAGCGAUGACUCUUCUACAAAAGUGGACAUUAAGGAGACCUACGAGGUGGAAGCCAGCACUUUCUGCUUCCCUGAAUCUGUGGAUGUGGGUGGUGCGUCACCCCAUGGCAAGACCAUCAGUGAGAGCGAGCUGAGCGCCAGCGCCACUGAGCUGCUGCAGGACUACAUGCUGACGCUGCGCACCAAGCUGUCAUCACAGGAGAUCCAGCAGUUUGCAGCGCUGCUGCACGAGUACCGCAAUGGGGCCUCUAUCCACGAGUUCUGCAUCAACCUGCGGCAGCUCUACGGGGACAGCCGCAAGUUCCUGCUGCUUGGUCUGAGGCCCUUCAUCCCUGAGAAGGACAGCCAGCACUUCGAGAACUUCCUGGAGACCAUUGGCGUGAAGGAUGGCCGCGGCAUCAUCACCGACAGCUUUGGCAGGCACCGGCGGGCCCUGAGCACCACAUCCAGUUCCACCACCAAUGGGAACAGGGCCACGGGCAGCUCUGAUGACCGGUCGGCACCCUCAGAGGGGGAUGAGUGGGACCGCAUGAUCUCGGACAUCAGCAGCGACAUUGAGGCGCUGGGCUGCAGCAUGGACCAGGACUCAGCAUGAUGGACAGUGGAUGGGGGGCACCCACACCUUCCGCGCAGUCGUCGUAGGCCUUCCCAGAAGGAGCUGCCCAGACCUGCGUGUCAGCCCUUGGUGGUGGCCAGGGAGAGGCUCCUGGCGCAGAUGGCCCCGGGCGGCCCAGGUCCUCUACUGUGAAGGAGCAGGGAGCUGCCGAGGGACACGAGCCUCAUUGCGGGGUGGAAGGCUCUUUGCCUUGUCCACCAGGGCUCAGCCAAGCCCUGCAGCGUGUCCCCGCUCGGGGAGGGCCCGGCCGAGCGGGCAGGGAGAGCCAGUCCUGUCGGCUGGGCCCUUGGACGGCUGUCAGUUUUGCACAUGAUUUUCCUAUUGUAACUCUCAGAGACCUUAAAAAGAAGUUUACUGC